Molecule: ribosomal RNA, 462 nt
Filed under: Prevotella nigrescens
Lineage: Bacteria; Pseudomonadati; Bacteroidota; Bacteroidia; Bacteroidales; Prevotellaceae
Description: bacterial SSU rRNA
Rfam family: Bacterial small subunit ribosomal RNA
Source: RNAcentral
GAUGAACGCUGGCUACAGGCUUAACACAUGCAAGUCGUGGGGAAACGGCAUUAUGUGCUUGCACAUUCUGGACGUCGACCGGCGCACGGGUGAGUAUCGCGUAUCCAACCUGCCCCUUACUUGGGGAUACCCCGUUGAAAGACGGCCUAAUACCCGAUGUGUUUCAUUGACGGCAUCCGAUAUGAAACAAAGGUUUUUCCGGUAAGGGAUGGGGAUGCGUCUGAUUAGCUUGUUGGCGGGGCAACGGCCCACCAAGGCGACGAUCAGUAGGGGUUCUGAGAGGAAGGUCCCCCACAUUGGAACUGAGACACGGUCCAAACUCCUACGGGAGGCAGCAGUGAGGAAUAUUGGUCAAUGGACGCAAGUCUGAACCAGCCAAGUAGCGUGCAGGAUGACGGCCCUAUGGGUUGUAAACUGCUUUUAUGUGGGAAUAAAGUGGCGCACGUGUGCGCCAUUGCAUGU